UACGUAGGGUGCAAGCGUUGUCCGGAAUUAUUGGGCGUAAAGAGCUCGUAGGCGGUCUGUCGCGUCUGCUGUGAAAACUCGGGGCUUAACUGUGAGCUUGCGGUCGAUACGGGCAGGCUAGAGUUCGGUAGGGGAGACUGGAAUUCCUGGUGUAGCGGUGAAAUGCGCAGAUAUCAGGAGGAACACCGGUGGCGAAGGCGGGUCUCUGGGCAACAACUGACGCUGAGGAGCGAAAGCGUGGGGAGCGAACAGG
RNAcentral lists this ribosomal RNA (253 nucleotides) under uncultured bacterium. RNAcentral describes it as "partial 16S ribosomal RNA". It matches the Rfam family "Bacterial small subunit ribosomal RNA", at positions 524 to 776 of the family's 1533-position model. The record is from RNAcentral.